Ictidomys tridecemlineatus (thirteen-lined ground squirrel) is the source of this 72-nucleotide non-coding RNA. Lineage: Eukaryota; Metazoa; Chordata; Mammalia; Rodentia; Sciuridae. The record is from Rfam.
GGAGGUAUAGUUUGUUGGCAGAGCACUUGCCUCACAUGUUUGAGGCUCUGGGUUCAAUCCCCAGCACCACCA